RNAcentral lists this transfer RNA (64 nucleotides) under Puerulus angulatus. RNAcentral's name for it is "tRNA-Gly". Lineage: Eukaryota; Metazoa; Arthropoda; Malacostraca; Decapoda; Palinuridae. The record is from RNAcentral.
AUCUUUCUAGUAUAAAAGUACCUCUGGCUUCCAACCAGAAAGUCUAGUGUCACUAGGGAAGUUA